This 216-nucleotide ribosomal RNA is filed under the name uncultured bacterium. RNAcentral's name for it is "partial 16S ribosomal RNA". It matches the Rfam family "Bacterial small subunit ribosomal RNA", at positions 118 to 351 of the family's 1533-position model. The record is from RNAcentral.
UGGGAAUGUGCCCUUUGGUUCGGAACAACUCCGGGAAACUGGAGCUAAUACCGGAUAUGCCCUUCGGGGAAAGAUUUAUCGCCAAAGGAUCGGCCCGCGUCUGAUUAGCUUGUUGGUGAGGUAAUGGCUCACCAAGGCGACGAUCAGUAGCUGGUCUGAGAGGAUGAUCAGCCACACUGGGGACUGAGACACGGCCCAGACUCCUACGGGAGGCAG